CGUCCUAACACAUGCAGUCGAGCGGAAACGAGUUAUCAUGAACCUUCGGGGGACGAUAACGGCGUCGAGCGGCGGACGGGUGAGUAAUGCCUAGGAAAUUGCCCUGAUGUGGGGGAUAACCAUUGGAAACGAUGGCUAAUACCGCAUGAUGCCUACGGGCCAAAGAGGGGGACCUUCGGGCCUCUCGCGUCAGGAUAUGCCUAGGUGGGAUUAGCUAGUUGGUGAGGUAAGGGCUCACCAAGGCGACGAUCCCUAGCUGGUCUGAGAGGAUGAUCAGCCACACUGGAACUGAGACACGGUCCAGACUCCUACGGGAGGCAGCAGUGGGGAAUAUUGCACAAUGGGCGCAAGCCUGAUGCAGCCAUGCCGCGUGUGUGAAGAAGGCCUUCGGGUUGUAAAGCACUUUCAGUCGUGAGGAAGGUAGUGUAGUUAAUAGCUGCAUUAUUUGACGUUAGCGACAGAAGAAGCACCGGCUAACUCCGUGCCAGCAGCCGCGGUAAUACGGAGGGUGCGAGCGUUAAUCGGAAUUACUGGGCGUAAAGCGCAUGCAGGUGGUUUGUUAAGUCAGAUGUGAAAGCCCGGGGCUCAACCUCGGAAUUGCAUUUGAAACUGGCAGACUAGAGUACUGUAGAGGGGGGUAGAAUUUCAGGUGUAGCGGUGAAAUGCGUAGAGAUCUGAAGGAAUACCGGUGGCGAAGGCGGCCCCCUGGACAGAUACUGACACUCAGAUGCGAAAGCGUGGGGAGCAAACAGGAUUAGAUACCCUGGUAGUCCACGCCGUAAACGAUGUCUACUUGGAGGUUGUGGCCUUGAGCCGUGGCUUUCGGAGCUAACGCGUUAAGUAGACCGCCUGGGGAGUACGGUCGCAAGAUUAAAACUCAAAUGAAUUGACGGGGGCCCGCACAAGCGGUGGAGCAUGUGGUUUAAUUCGAUGCAACGCGAAGAACCUUACCUACUCUUGACAUCCAGAGAACUUUCCAGAGAUGGAUUGGUGCCUUCGGGAACUCUGAGACAGGUGCUGCAUGGCUGUCGUCAGCUCGUGUUGUGAAAUGUUGGGUUAAGUCCCGCAACGAGCGCAACCCUUAUCCUUGUUUGCCAGCGAGUAAUGUCGGGAACUCCAGGGAGACUGCCGGUGAUAAACCGGAGGAAGGUGGGGACGACGUCAAGUCAUCAUGGCCCUUACGAGUAGGGCUACACACGUGCUACAAUGGCGCAUACAGAGGGCAGCCAACUUGCGAAAGUGAGCGAAUCCCAAAAAGUGCGUCGUAGUCCGGAUUGGAGUCUGCAACUCGACUCCAUGAAGUCGGAAUCGCUAGUAAUCGUGGAUCAGAAUGCCACGGUGAAUACGUUCCCGGGCCUUGUACACACCGCCCGUCACACCAUGGGAGUGGGCUGCAAAAGAAGUAGGUAGUUUAACCUUCGGGGGGACGCUUACCACCUUGAA
This 1443-nucleotide ribosomal RNA is filed under the name Vibrio parahaemolyticus. RNAcentral's name for it is "bacterial SSU rRNA". It matches the Rfam family "Bacterial small subunit ribosomal RNA". The record is from RNAcentral. Lineage: Bacteria; Pseudomonadati; Pseudomonadota; Gammaproteobacteria; Vibrionales; Vibrionaceae.